GGCGGCGUGCCUAAUACAUGCAAGUCGAGCGCAGGAAACAAGUAGAUCCCUUCGGGGUGACGCUUGUGGAAUGAGCGGCGGACGGGUGAGUAACACGUGGGCAACCUACCUUGUAGACUGGGAUAACUCCGGGAAACCGGAGCUAAUACGGGAUGAUCAUUUGAAUCGCAUGAUUGAAAUGUAAAAGUGGGGAGUAAUCCUCACACUAUGAGAUGGGCCCGCGGCGCAUUAGCUAGUUGGUAAGGUAAUGGCUUACCAAGGCAACGAUGCGUAGCCGACCUGAGAGGGUGAUCGGCCACACUGGAACUGAGACACGGUCCAGACUCCUACGGGAGGCAGCAGUAGGGAAUCAUCCGCAAUGGGCGAAAGCCUGACGGUGCAACGCCGCGUGAAUGAUGAAGGUUUUCGGAUCGUAAAGUUCUGUUAUGAGGGAAGAACAAGUGCCGUUCGAAUAGGGCGGCACCUUGACGGUACCUCACGAGAAAGCCCCGGCUAACUACGUG
RNAcentral lists this ribosomal RNA (503 nucleotides) under uncultured bacterium. RNAcentral describes it as "bacterial SSU rRNA". It matches the Rfam family "Bacterial small subunit ribosomal RNA", at positions 38 to 507 of the family's 1533-position model. The record is from RNAcentral.